GGCCCAUAAUGAACAUUCAAAGAUAAGAGAGUCCAUGUAGGACUCAAACGUAUCCACAUGCAAAAGAAAAGUAAAGUAAUUAACAUAUGUCCUAAGGUUAAUAUUUAAAAAAAUGCUAAAUUAUCAUGCAUAAUAAAAAUAUGUAGAGUUACUUUAACAAAGGUAAUAACUUUACCUUGUGGAACAUACAUGAAAACAACACGGGCAAAAUCUAAACUUUUUAGCAUAUGAAUGCAAAGAUGAAUUAGAUUUGAUGUCACAUAGAAAAACUAAGAAUAACUACAAUUUCCAAACAUAAUCGACAAGCCAAUGAAAGGAAAUUUAUAGAACAAGGUUCAACCAAAGGAGAAUAAAUAUCCAACACUUCAAUAAUCUCGCAUUUUAGCUAAACAAAAAGUUACCCUUCCAAAUGGUCCACUUAUUUAUCCACAACAAAAAA
RNAcentral lists this long non-coding RNA (439 nucleotides) under Capsicum annuum. RNAcentral's name for it is "long non-coding RNA (CANN_LNC018547)". Lineage: Eukaryota; Viridiplantae; Streptophyta; Magnoliopsida; Solanales; Solanaceae. The record is from RNAcentral.